Molecule: non-coding RNA, 515 nt
Organism: Rattus norvegicus (Norway rat)
Lineage: Eukaryota; Metazoa; Chordata; Mammalia; Rodentia; Muridae
Source: RefSeq, a predicted model, not a curated record
UGGCUGAUGCGUCAUUUUCAGUGGCUCCUUUCUCAAAGUCAGCGAGACUCCAGAGAUUUACACAUCUGCUGGAUCAUCUUUCUCCUUAACUUUCAUCAUGCAGUGCUGAGAAAGAAGAAAAAAGAAAAAGAAAAAUCAGCCACAGUCUCUAUCCCAUCAUGCAUCUGUGUCCACAUCUGAGCUACCCUUGAAGGAAGAGUCAUUUGAGAAGCUCUCUGGGCCACAUUGUGCUGACUGGAGGGGCCUGCUGAAGAGAACACACAAGAAGACACAGAAAGACGCAAAGAUGGAGCUGCCCUGGGAAAGAGAAUGAUGGUGUCCCGGGUAUGGUCCAGGCGUGGCUGGAGGUGGGACGCACGCAUGUCAACACCACGGUUCAUCGUUCAGCUUGCUAAAACUAACGUAACAAAAUCCUCACCGAAGUCGAGCGCUCCAUUUACCAUUAUGUCUGUUUCUAGCUGACAUAGCACAGUGUAUUUUCCUUCGGAUUACAGAUUAAACACUCAUCCACUCAC